Molecule: unclassified non-coding RNA, 146 nt
Filed under: uncultured Chaetosphaeriaceae
Lineage: Eukaryota; Fungi; Ascomycota; Sordariomycetes; Chaetosphaeriales; Chaetosphaeriaceae
Description: sequence contains ITS2
Source: RNAcentral
CAACCCUCAGGCCCUGCCUGGCGUUGGAGCCCUGCGCACCGCAGGCUCCCAAAGACAUCGGCGGGCGCGCCCCGGAACCGAGCGCAGUAAUGCUUCUCGUUCUGGUCCGCGGCGCGCUCCGGCCGUAAAACCCCCCUAUUUUACGU